UACGUAGGGUGCAGGCGUUAAUCGGAAUUACUGGGCGUAAAGCGUGCGCAGGCGGUUUGCUAAGAGAGAUGUGAAAUCCCCGGGCUUAACCUGGGAACUGCGUUUCUAACUGGCAGGCUUGAGUGUGGCAGAGGGGGGUGGAAUUCCACGUGUAGCAGUGAAAUGCGCAGAUAUCAGGAGGAACACCGAUGGCGAAGGCAGGCCUCUGGGCCACUACUGACGCUGAGAAGCGAAAGCAUGGGGAGCGAACAGG
This 253-nucleotide ribosomal RNA is filed under the name uncultured bacterium. RNAcentral's name for it is "partial 16S ribosomal RNA". It matches the Rfam family "Bacterial small subunit ribosomal RNA", at positions 524 to 776 of the family's 1533-position model. The record is from RNAcentral.